GGGGGGGGGCUGUGCUCUGUAGCAUCAUGGGGGGUUCAGGGGGGACAUCGGGGGGCUCCGUCUUCUUCCCUUGGUGGUCUCGUUGCUGGGACACUCAAAUCACCACAGAAGAGGAAGAGGAUCAAAGUCUUCUUCCUCGUGGCAAAUUCCACUGGUCUGCGCCGCCUCCGGACCGAAGUCCAGCCCGAGGGGAACCCGCCGGGGGGAAAUGUCACCGGGACGCGUCAAAGGAGCGUCGCACACCGCGUGUGUGUGUGUGUCAGCAGGAGAAACCCAGCUGAAGGCGUUUGUCGUGUGUGUGCAGUAUUUAUCUAUCAGGGUGUGUGUGUGUGUGUGUAUGUGUUGUCUAUGUUUGUCUCCAUGGUGACGCUCACCACACACCGCCGGCCUACUGACGAAUUCCCAUCCAAGCUUUAUCUUCCUAAUAUCACACACACAUCGGUGCGCUGUGUGUGUGUGCGUGUGCGUGUGCGUGUGGGUGUGGGUGUGUGUGUGUGUGUGUGUGCGCGUCUCUGAAUUGAAUUGUCCCCAUUUCAGACGGGCGCACAAACGUUCUGCCUCGUGGGCUGCCGAGGAGCCCACAGGCCGGCCGCGUGGCGCCGAGGUGUUGAGGCCAGUAGGAGCAUGGCGGCGACGGGGAGGUCCAAUGAGGGCUGCAGGAACCUUGGCGAGGAGGAAGGCUCCUCCUCGUCUUCCUCCGUGAAUCAUUGACGGGCCCGGCCGGCGUCUCUCGGUCUCACCUAGCUGAGGAAUUGCGGGCGGCGAAGAGAAGAAGAAGCCCGUGGGCAUCAAAGAACCUUUGGAGCCUCCAUGUGGAGCUUGAAGGACAAAUAUCCCCGCGUCUUAUGAAAAGAGAACUUGUGAAGAUCAACACAAGGAUUCAUUCCUUUGUGUCUUCUUACCUGGACCCUGAUGGGACCCGGUAGGACCGGGUCUGUUGUGGGUCUCCACUCGUCCUCUUCGUUGAGGAGCUCUGUCCGUCUUGUUGGAGAAACUCACUGUAAUUAGAAUUUAUUCAGAGGGAAAAGAAGCAAAGUUCAUAAGAGAGUAACGAAGCUCAGAGCGUGCCCCCCCCCCCCCCCCCCCGUCCCAGCUCUGUGGCCGGGCUGCUCCCCUCUGCAGCGGCCUGUGAGCGCGCCGGAUGUCCCCCCGUCCCAAGCGGGGAUCGGCUGGGCGGCAUCGAGCCCACGGCGGCGUUUUCAGGGCCGAACAAAGCGAUGUUGACGACCCGAGUUUGGGUGUCACGUAUUAUUGUGUAGGCGGACGGACUCUAGGACCCUGGGAAGGCCCACGCUGAGACGUCUCCGGAGGGAGACGGGAGGACAGGGCAACAAAGCAGCGAGCAUUGUGGGAAAUGUACUCCAGGUAAAUCCUGGUUCAUCUCGUGGCCUCCGUCGGGCGGGAGGAGUUACCGCUGUCCUCUGGCACCCUGAUUACCCACAAUGCACCUCGAGGUAACAAUGUGGCGAGGAACGAGGCCGAGUGAACAUGAGGGCAGCAGAGGGGAGGAAGAGGCGAGAGGGAGACUCUUCGGCACCUGGAGGUGGUCGACGACCCGAGCUAAUGAGAGAGCAUCGUGCUCUGCAGGAGGGGGAGGAGCCUGGAGGCCUCCAGGUGAGCGCCCCUCCUCCUCCUCCUCCUCCUUCGUUGAGAACUUUGCUCCGUUGCAAGAGGAGGGGUAACUUUCCAGAAAUCAUUGCGACUAAACAGGGGAGAGGUUGUUGACCCGCUGUAAUCUCCUUUAUGUGCCUCAUAAAUACGAAGCCCCCCAACCGCCGCACGCACAAAAACACUCCCCACCCCAUAAUGUCUAAAGGUUAAGCUAGAGCCAGUGUUGGAGGUCAUGACCUCAUCACACUAUGGGGCUCAUAUUUGGGACAUCAUGAAAUGAACAAAAGCGCCGGCGUGUGGUCUUCCUGGCGGGGGGGGGCGGGGCUUAACAGGGGUCAAGUGAACUGCACGUUGCUCAUGAAUUGACGUGCGCUGCAGCCGGAGGAGGGGAAGCGGAUAAAAAGGGCUUUCUGCUGCACAUUGCGUUCUCUGUGCCCAAAGCAGAACGAAGCCUCACCAGAUCAUUUACAUUUAUUUUUACGAUAUUUAAACCAACAAAUAACAAAAAUAAAUCAAUGCAAAACCUCUAAAGCUGACCGAAGUGUGUUUAGGAGCCCCUCUGCUCUGACAGCGAGCGCGAGACCACCAAUUUCACCCGGUCAAUAUUUGAGGAGCUAAUUCGGAGAGUUUGUCCCCUCCGUCGGGGGAGGAAGAGGGAUUUACUGAAUAGUGUGCGAUUCUGCACGCGCAGGCCGUGCCUUUGCAUAAUGUCGUUGACACGCACCCUUAUCUCUGUGCGUGUGUGUGUGUGUGUGUGUGCGCGUGCGAGCGUGCGUGCGUGCGUGCGUGCGUGUGUGUGUACCUGUGGUCAGCUGUGCCAAUAAUGCAGCUUUGAUUAGAGGCUUAUCGCAGCUCCGUCACACCUCGGGCAUGUGACUCCUCCGGCAGAGCCGUAAAACAAACGCACCCGAGCGCCUCGAAAGGACACUUUCAUGCUUCGAGUUCAUGCACCUGAGUAUCAGUGUUUGAUAUUUUAAUGGCUUUAGAGCUGCACAAGUGGCCUGAAGGUGAAAGCAGCUCAGAAGUGGAGAAUCAACGAUGAUGAAUAAAUAAAACAUGGGGGAUGUUGUUCAAUCUAUUUGUGUUUAGGAGGGAAAUAAACAAACUGUCGCGGAGCAGAUCGGAAGUACGUCUGUUGCCACGGUAACCGAUAAACAGCUGAGGUCCAAACUCCACGUGCCUCUGAAACACAAUCCACCGUGUGCGUGAUGCUUCUGGUCACCCGACCAGAUAAAUCCUAAUAAAAGAAGGGAAGCUUGAAUCACCCCCCCCCCCCCUCCCCCCCAAGGUCUUUCUUUUCUGGCCUCUGAACAAUCCGAGGCUCUGGGUUUCAACGCCGACCUCCAACGCCUGUACGCCGCGGUGGUCGCCCGCGGCAACGCUCGGAAACGCAAACUGUCCGAGGAGCAGCAGACAGCCGCCGUGGCCCCGUGUUUAGGUGGAUCCGUCUCCAGUGAAGCAGGUGAAGGCGGGAAGGAGCAGGCUGCUGCAUCCAAGAUGGCCGACAGACCCGGCGCACAUCAGUCUGUCCCCGUCCUGUCCAAUCCGCCCGCACGCCCGUCCUCCAAACCAAAGAAGAAGAAAGCAGUGGGCCUGUUCCGGUGACCUCCUCCUGUCUGAAGGGUGUGCUCCUUUUAACCAAGUUUUACUUUUGACAAAAUGACUUUGAUUAUGGCUCAACUUUUAGAUUAAAAAUGCUUUUAAAGUCUUAAUUAAACGUGUUUCAUUUUUGA
Gasterosteus aculeatus aculeatus (three-spined stickleback) is the source of this 3344-nucleotide long non-coding RNA. Lineage: Eukaryota; Metazoa; Chordata; Actinopteri; Perciformes; Gasterosteidae. The record is from Ensembl.